UGGGGAAUUUUGGACAAUGGGCGCAAGCCUGAUCCAGCAAUGCCGCGUGCAGGAUGAAGGCCUUCGGGUUGUAAACUGCUUUUGUACGGAACGAAACGGCGAGCUCUAAUACAGUUUGCUAAUGACGGUACCGUAAGAAUAAGCACCGGCUAACUACGUGCCAGCAGCCGCGGUAAUACGUAGGGUGCAAGCGUUAAUCGGAAUUACUGGGCGUAAAGCGUGCGCAGGCGGUUUUGUAAGACAGAUGUGAAAUCCCCGGGCUCAACCUGGGACCUGCAUUUGUGACUGCAAGGCUAGAGUACGGCAGAGGGGGAUGGAAUUCCGCGUGUAGCAGUGAAAUGCGUAGAUAUGCGGAGGAACACCGAUGGCGAAGGCAAUCCCCUGGGCCUGUACUGACGCUCAUGCACGAAAGCGUGGGGAGCAAACA
RNAcentral lists this ribosomal RNA (427 nucleotides) under uncultured Comamonadaceae bacterium. Its description in RNAcentral is "partial 16S ribosomal RNA". It matches the Rfam family "Bacterial small subunit ribosomal RNA", at positions 355 to 774 of the family's 1533-position model. The record is from RNAcentral. Lineage: Bacteria; Pseudomonadati; Pseudomonadota; Betaproteobacteria; Burkholderiales; Comamonadaceae.